UCCUACGGGAGGCAGCAGUGGGGAAUAUUGCACAAUGGGGGAAACCCUGAUGCAGCGACGCCGCGUGGGUGACGAAGUAUUUCGGUAUGUAAAGCCCUAUCAGCAGGGAAGAAGAUGACAGUACCUGACUAAGAAGCCCCGGCUAACUACGUGCCAGCAGCCGCGGUAAUACGUAGGGGGCAAGCGUUAUCCGGAUUUACUGGGUGUAAAGGGAGCGUAGACGGUUCUGCAAGUCUGAAGUGAAAGCCCGUUGCUUAAC
RNAcentral lists this ribosomal RNA (259 nucleotides) under uncultured bacterium. Its description in RNAcentral is "partial 16S ribosomal RNA". It matches the Rfam family "Bacterial small subunit ribosomal RNA", at positions 337 to 613 of the family's 1533-position model. The record is from RNAcentral.